Long non-coding RNA from Homo sapiens (human), 327 nucleotides. Ensembl annotates it as long intergenic non-protein coding RNA 222. The record is from Ensembl. NCBI's taxonomy places the organism in Eukaryota, Metazoa, Chordata, Mammalia, Primates, Hominidae.
GUGACUGCCAGGUAAUGCUAACCCCGAAUCCUUGGUGCCUGUGUUAUGCACCAUAUGCUGAAUUUCGGUUCCAGCUGUGUGCUAGGCUGGGUCUGAUCUGGCAAAGAGGAACUGGCUCCACAGCUCUGGGCAGAAUCCACUGCUGCUCCCACACAGAGAAGACCAGGGGAACCGCAGUCCCACUCUGAUAGUGAGAGCAAAGGAAAGUGGCAACAAUGAAGGAAUAAAACCCAGCUCGUCCCCCUGUUCCUCAUGCCCAACCCUUGCCAAGACUUCAGGUAACAGAAGGAAGAGAACACAUGGAUGGGCACAUGCUGGGCCCGGAAG